UCCCCACCUGCUAGCCCCCGGCCUUAUGCAACAACCCAUAUUAAUUAUCGUAACACGGACUAUUAAUUUAAACUAAAACAUUCUGCCCCCCAGUAUAGGAGAUAGAAAAGGAAAUAGGCGCUACAAAUUCAGUACCGCAAGGGAAAGCUGAAAGAGAGAUGAAAGAGCUCCACAAAGAUAUUCAAAGCAGAGACCGACCCUCGUACCUUUUGCAUCAUGGACUGGCUAGAAAUUUCAAGCGAAAUGAAUUUUAUGUUUGAUUCCCCGAAACCAAGCGAGCUACUCCAGGACAGCCUGCUAACGUAGGGCGAACCCAUCUCUGUGGCAAAAGACUGGGAAGAUCCUCGAGUAGAGGUGAUAAAUCUAACGGGCUUGGUGAUAGCUGGUUGCCUAAGAAAAGAAUAGGAGUUCCACUUUUUAGUAUCUUGUUAUUCACCCCUGGUCACGCCACAAGCAGAUCACUAGAUUACUAAAAAAGCCAUUCGAGGGGGGAACAGCCCCCUUGAAAAGAGACACAACUCUGAAGUAGCCGGCUAAAGAUUACAACUUCAUAGGGUAUCUACCUGAGUGGGCCUAGGAGCAGCCAACCAAUUAGACAGCGUUAAAGCUCGAGUAGAGCAGAUCCUCAGAUAUUAGACGAUUAAUCUUAUGCCCCUUAACAUAUUAGGCCCACCCAUGCAUACAUGGGUGCGAUAAUGCUAGUAUGAGUAAUAAGAGAGCCCCUGGCUCUCUCGCGUGCAUGCGUGUACAUCAGACCGAACCCCCACUGACAGUUAAACGUCCCACCCACCAGAGGGAAAUGAGAAAAUCUGCUUUAACAAACAAGAAAACCCCUCAACCUGAAAACGUUAAUCUUACACGAGAAUGCCUCACGAAAGACACAAGCAGAGGGAAGGAACUCGGCAAACACUAGCCCCGCCUGUUUACCAAAAACAUCGCCUCUUGCCCACAUAUAAGAGGUCCUGCCUGCCCUGUGACAAAAUGUUUAACGGCCGCGGUAUUCUGACCGUGCGAAGGUAGCGUAAUAACCUGUUCCUUAAAUGGGGACCAGUAUGAAUGGCUUCACGAGGGCUGAGCUGUCUCCCUUCGGUUGUCAAUGAAGUUGAUCUCCCCGUGCAGAAGCGGGGAUAUGCCCAUAAGACGAGAAGACCCUAUGGAGCUUUAGACUUACAAGCAACCCCUAUAUUAAUAACCCUGCCUGAACAGCGGAUAACUUGGGACUCCUGCCCUAUGUCUUAGGUUGGGGCGACCACGGGGGAAGAAAAAGCCCCCACGUGGAACGGGACCCUAGUCCACCGAGCCCAGAGCCGCAGCUCUAAUAAACAGAACAUCUGACCAACCAGACCCGGCAAUGCCGAUCAACGGACCAAGUUACCCUAGGGAUAACAGCGCAAUCCCCUUUGAGAGUCCAUAUCGACAAGGGGGUUUACGACCUCGAUGUUGGAUCAGGACCUCCUAAUGGUGCAGCCGCUAUUAAGGGUUUGUUUGUUCAACGAUUAAAGUCCUACGUGAUCUGAGUUCAGACCGGAGCGAUCCAGGUCGGUUUCUAUCUAUGAGUGCUCCUCCCUAGUACGAAAGGACCGAGAAGAGGGGGCCCAUGCUCCCAGUAAGCCUCACCCCCACCCAAUGACCUCCACUAAAAAGGAUAAGGGGGCUAACCUUCUGCUGCCUAAGAUCAAGGCACACAA
RNAcentral lists this ribosomal RNA (1688 nucleotides) under Eviota japonica. RNAcentral describes it as "16S rRNA". The stretch from base 92 to 1604 matches the Rfam family "Bacterial large subunit ribosomal RNA". Lineage: Eukaryota; Metazoa; Chordata; Actinopteri; Gobiiformes; Gobiidae. The record is from RNAcentral.